This 425-nucleotide ribosomal RNA is filed under the name uncultured bacterium. Its description in RNAcentral is "partial 16S ribosomal RNA". It matches the Rfam family "Bacterial small subunit ribosomal RNA", at positions 354 to 796 of the family's 1533-position model. The record is from RNAcentral.
GUGGGGAAUCUUAGACAAUGGGGGCAACCCUGAUCUAGCCAUGCCGCGUGAGUGAUGAAGGCCUUAGGGUCGUAAAGCUCUUUCGCUGGGGAAGAUAAUGACGGUACCCAGUAAAGAAACCCCGGCUAACUCCGUGCCAGCAGCCGCGGUAAUACGGAGGGGGUUAGCGUUGUUCGGAAUUACUGGGCGUAAAGCGCGCGUAGGCGGAUUGGAAAGUUGGGGGUGAAAUCCCGGGGCUCAACCCUGGAAUGGCCUUCAAAACUCCCAGUCUUGAGGUCGAGAGAGGUGAGUGGAAUUCCGAGUGUAGAGGUGAAAUUCGUAGAUAUUAGGAAGAACACCAGUGGCGAAGGCGGCUCACUGGUCCGGUACUGACGCUGAGGUGCGAAAGCGUGGGGAGCAAACAGGAUUAGAUACCCCUGUAGUCC